UACGUAGGGUGCAAGCGUUGUCCGGAAUUAUUGGGCGUAAAGAGCUCGUAGGCGGUUUGUCGCGUCUGCUGUGAAAACUCGGGGCUUAACCCCGGGCCUGCAGUGGGUACGGGCAGACUAGAGUGCGGUAGGGGAGACUGGAAUUCCUGGUGUAGCGGUGAAAUGCGCAGAGAUCGGGAGGAACACCCGUAGCGAAGGCGGCACUCUGGGCCGGUACUGACGCUGAGGAGCGAGAGCGUGGGGAGCAAACAGG
This 253-nucleotide ribosomal RNA is filed under the name uncultured bacterium. RNAcentral describes it as "partial 16S ribosomal RNA". It matches the Rfam family "Bacterial small subunit ribosomal RNA", at positions 524 to 776 of the family's 1533-position model. The record is from RNAcentral.